Molecule: ribosomal RNA, 253 nt
Filed under: uncultured bacterium
Lineage: Bacteria
Also listed under: 1 other name
Description: partial 16S ribosomal RNA
Rfam family: Bacterial small subunit ribosomal RNA
Source: RNAcentral
UACGGAGGGUGCGAGCGUUAAUCGGAAUUACUGGGCGUAAAGCGUACGCAGGCGGUUAGUUAAGUCAGAUGUGAAAGCCCCGGGCUCAACCUGGGAACUGCAUUUGAAACUGGCUAACUAGAGUGCGGCAGAGGGUGGUAGAAUUUCAGGUGUAGCGGUGAAAUGCGUAGAGAUCUGAAGGAAUACCGAUGGCGAAGGCAGCCACCUGGGCCGACACUGACGCUCAUGUACGAAAGCGUGGGUAGCAAACAGG